UAUAAGAUUUAACCUGCCCGCUGAAUAAUUGAAUGGCCGCGGUAUUUUGACCGUGCAAAGGUAGCAUAAUAAUUAGUUUUUUGAUUGAAAGCUGGAAUGAAUGGUUGGACGAGAAAAUUACUGUCUCUGAUUAAAUUUUUAAUAAAACUUUAUUUUUAAGUUAAAAAGCUUAAAUGUUGUUAAAAGACGAGAAGACCCUAUAGAGUUUAAUAAUUUUUUAAUAAUAUAAUUUUAGGUAUUUAAAUUUUGUUUUUAUGAAAUUAUUUUAUUGGGGUGAUAAAAAGAUUAAAUUAACUCUUUUUUUAUUUUCACAUUUAUAAAUGAUUAUUUGAUCCAAUUUUUUUGAUUAUAAGAAUAAAUUACCUUAGGGAUAACAGCGUAAUCUUUUUAGAGAGUUCUUAUCGAAAUAAGGGAUUGCGACCUCGAUGUUGGAUUAAAGUUAAUUUUUGGUGUAGAAGCUUGAAAAUUGAGUCUGUUCGACUUUUAAAACUUUACAUGAUCUGAGUUUAAACCGGUGUGAGCCAGGUUGGUUUCUAUCUUUAUUUAAUAAAAAUAUCUUAGUACGAAAGGACCAA
This 575-nucleotide ribosomal RNA is filed under the name Hydora sp. 10 MF-2023a. Its description in RNAcentral is "partial large subunit ribosomal RNA". It matches the Rfam family "Bacterial large subunit ribosomal RNA", at positions 1844 to 2695 of the family's 2925-position model. Lineage: Eukaryota; Metazoa; Arthropoda; Insecta; Coleoptera; Elmidae. The record is from RNAcentral.